This 404-nucleotide ribosomal RNA is filed under the name Escherichia coli. RNAcentral's name for it is "partial 23S ribosomal RNA". It matches the Rfam family "Bacterial large subunit ribosomal RNA", at positions 1 to 444 of the family's 2925-position model. Lineage: Bacteria; Pseudomonadati; Pseudomonadota; Gammaproteobacteria; Enterobacterales; Enterobacteriaceae. The record is from RNAcentral.
GGUUAAGCGACUAAGCGUACACGGUGGAUGCCCUGGCAGUCAGAGGCGAUGAAGGACGUGCUAAUCUGCGAUAAGCGUCGGUAAGGUGAUAUGAACCGUUAUAACCGGCGAUUUCCGAAUGGGGAAACCCAGUGUGAUUCGUCACACUAUCAUUAACUGAAUCCAUAGGUUAAUGAGGCGAACCGGGGGAACUGAAACAUCUAAGUACCCCGAGGAAAAGAAAUCAACCGAGAUUCCCCCAGUAGCGGCGAGCGAACGGGGAGCAGCCCAGAGCCUGAAUCAGUGUGUGUGUUAGUGGAAGCGUCUGGAAAGGCGCGCGAUACAGGGUGACAGCCCCGUACACAAAAAUGCACAUGCUGUGAGCUCGAUGAGUAGGGCGGGACACGUGGUAUCCUGUCUGAAUA